AAAAGGCCUCCUUGACUCCACUCUGCAGUGUCGUCCCCUCAUCAAAUUCAAUGACAUCCACCGCUCAAGAUGACAGUCCUCGUCCAAUGAGGUCCUCUGAUCUUGCAGUGGGUAUUCCUCCUCAGUAGACAAGGCAAAGAUGUGCUCCCCUCAAA
Plectropomus leopardus (leopard coralgrouper) is the source of this 155-nucleotide non-coding RNA. NCBI's taxonomy places the organism in Eukaryota, Metazoa, Chordata, Actinopteri, Perciformes, Serranidae. The record is from RefSeq and is a predicted model, not a curated record.